Molecule: long non-coding RNA, 8822 nt
Organism: Bacillus rossius redtenbacheri
Lineage: Eukaryota; Metazoa; Arthropoda; Insecta; Phasmatodea; Bacillidae
Exons: 4
Source: RefSeq, a predicted model, not a curated record
GGUAUUCUUUACCGCAAAGCGUCACUCUGGCUGUCUUUGAGUGGACUCCUGACUAUCUUUAUAUUAAGACAGGCUUCUGUUGAAUCUUUAUGAGCAGCAACGUAAAUACAAUGGCCGCCGUAUUUAUAUUAUGUUGUUGAAACACCACCAAUAAUACAUGAAAUUGCUGUGCUGUGCUUUUCCCCACUCAGCUACUUUCUAAUAUUAUUAUGCUAGAUAGGUUUGACUGUUGGUUACUAUUACUUUCUGCCGAUAUUGAUAUCUAUAUAUAUAUAAAAUUUGUAAUAGUGUAUAAGGGUAGGUCAAACAACACAGAUAUUAUUCAGGUUCUGGUAAUUAUGUGUAAUAUUUAAUUACAUGUGUGGCAAUUUAUUACAUCGGCGCCUAUUGCUGCACAAGGGCCUAACCCACUUAACACAAAUGAGUAUUAGACACAACACAAAACAUAGGUUAAUAUGACAAGUUAAUUCAUAUCUCGGUAAAUUGGUAAGGAAAAUUAACAUACGUUGAAACUUUAUUAAUUGCAAAAAUUUUAAAUAAAAUUUAUUAUCAAUAAAUUACUGAACUGGGUUGUGGAAUGACUAUCAUGUUCGUUAAUCAUCUGGAUAUUUACGUCGCACACAUGAUUACGAUACAACAGUUCAUUUAGGUCCAUUCAAAAAUACGUAAUAUUAUGUUGCACUUUUGCGUGAUCAACGAGUUAGCAAUCCACAAAAUCAAGUAUUUAAAUAACAAUUUCAGUUCGUUGUAGAGUUCGCGUACCUAGGCUUUAGCUCAGUUUUACGAUCGGUAGAACACAAAACUAUCUCUCUCGUUUCACCUCUGGGUUAAAUUGAUAAAUUAGAUAGUUUCCAAUUACAAUAAUCUUUACUGUUUUUGGUUAUUUAAAGUCUUUUAAAAUGUUGAUAAUAUAAUUUAAACUCAAUGUUCUUUCAAUUAGUACGUCGCUAUAACAACUUUAGUAUGGCGCUGUUUCACAUGGUAUGGAGGGUUUUUACUUACAUAAACUAAUCACUCCUGGGUACAUAUUCGUCAGAAUAUGCCCUAACAAACUAGUAAACAUUUAACAACACGACGAAAAAAACUCAUCCUUUGUUGCGGAUGGUCUGAAAUAGCUAAUAUCUUUUUUUCUUUUGAAUUUUUGACAGGCUCCGCGCCCUUGCAUCUCACUGGGACACCAUCUCUUACAUAACUCUUUCUCAAAUAGAAACGUUCUAGACGCCUUCUACUUGAAACAUGGCCUCUGAUUGGCCGGGGCGGAAUGCUGUUAACGAAAUUUACAGAAUCACAUCUUGUAAACAAAAGGUAUUAACAAAGUUGCAAACACAAAACUGAAUUAAAUUUAAAAACAGAAUUUCCAACAAUGCCACAUCCUUCGUAUAUGACACGUAUAAUAACACAGUUUAUACGUUUUGUUCAAUUGGUCCUUAGAGGGGUAUAUCUAAUUGCCGGUCCAUAUAUGUCUUCCCCACUACAUAGAGCAUAUCUCUCAUAGAUAUACCUAAUUAAUAGGAAUAUAUAUUUAAUAACUUUUGCGGGCGAACAAUAUACAAAUUAAAUAAUAAAAUUUCAUAAUAAUAAUAACAGUCAAUAUAAGUUUUUAUAAAUAAUAGUAUCAUUAAAAUAAGUCAUAACUUUCUGUGCAUUCUGAAAAUAGUAACAGCACAUUGCUGUUAAUUAAUUGUGUACAUUUAAUUUUUUUCCAGUGAAGUGUGUACCUAUACAUAAUAAAAUGGCAGCGAUAUUGAGACGGUUGGACUUAAUUGACGACAUUGAGAGACAAGAGGGGCGUCAAAAGAUUAAGCUGCUGCGACGGGGGAUUCGGGACGUCCUAAAUCCAUUCACAGAAAUGGAAGAAGAACAAUUCAGGGUCACUUACAGGUUACCUCCUGUCUUAGCACUAGAACUAACACAGAUUUUGAAGCUGCAUUUAAGAAGGCCGAUGCGAAUAACGUGCAUUUCGGAGGAAAUAAAAGUACUCAUUGCUCUUCGAUUUUAUGCAAGUGGCUCGUACCAGAAGUGUGUUGGUGAUAGCGUGCUGACGUGUGUAAGCCAACCCUCAGUUAGUCGAGCCAUCCGAAAUGUCACAAGGGCAAUCAAUACUACCAUGUUGAACAACUGGGUUUACUUCCCAGAAAAUGAAAACGAGUUGCAACUGAACAAACAAAGGUUAGUAUUGUUUCAUAACAAAUCUUUUGUUUUGGUUUUUCCUAACUUUAAUAGCAGUAGUUUUGUUGAAACUGUAACAUUUAUUGGAACAUGUAGCUUAAUUUAAAAAUUUCAUACUUUAAUCUUUUACUAACCUGUCUUUACUCUGUGUGUGUGUGUGUGUCCGUAUGUGUGUGUGUACAAAUAGCACACGGACUUGGCACUAAAAUAAUGAAAUACAACAUGAAAAGCUGGUUUACGAGUUAGGUAAAAAUCCCCCCCCCCCCCACUUCCCCCUUCCAAAAGAAUUGCUAGUGCAUUGUACAAAAGGUUAUUAUAGUGGUAGUCUGUUGGAUACACAUAAUACUUAAGUUUGUUGAGAGGAAAAUAGUGACAUUUGUUUUCCAAAACAGAAUCUUUAGUGAUAGAUAACAUAACAGUUUCUAAUUCCAGCGAUCAUUUUAAUAUAACUGAAAUAGUAGUUUUUACUUAUGUAUCUCUGGAUAAGAAAGGCCUAUGUCCUUAGUUACACAGGGCCGAGCUUAAAAUAUUAGUGACUUGAGCUUGCGCCAAAGAGUAUUUGUGUUAAUAGUGUUAUUAUUGUGUAAAUCUUUCAUUUAUUUUUGUGGUGUUUUUGAAUUGUCUUUUUUAAUGUAGUCAAAUUUAAUAUGAUAAGCCACUGCACACUCAUUGUAAUUGCUUAGGUUCAUGGAUACAACAGGCUUUCCAGGUGUAAUGGGAGCAGUGGACUGCACACAUGUUCUCAUUAUUUCUCCAACUGGCGAUGAGGAAGCAGUAUACGUGGACAGGAAACACAACCACUCCCUUAAUGUUCAGCUUAUCUGCAAUUACGACAUGCUUGUCAUGGAUGUCAACGCCAGAUAUCCUGGCAGUACACACGAUGCAGCUAUCUGGAGGCUGUGCAAUGUGAAGAGGACUUUGAUGAGGCGCUACAGAAAUGGAGACACCAAUUCAUGGAUACUGGGUGAUUCUGGAUAUCCACUUUAACCGUGGUUACUGACACCAAUUCUUCAUGCUCCAGAUGGAACGCCAGAAGCAAGAUACACGACGGUCAUUGUAGUGCUCGAUGUGCAAUAGAGAGAUGUAACGGGUUGCUCAAAAGUAGAUUUCGAUGUUUAUCGAAAGCUAGGCAAUUGAAUUAUGCACCACACACUGCAGCGCUAAUAGUCAAUGCAUGUGUGGUACUGCACAACUUUUGUGUUAGAAACAAAUUGCCUCUGUAUCUCACUGUUGGUGAACAACCAGUGCCAGACAUCGAAGGGAUUUACCAGGAUCAAUAUGAGGCAGAUCAUGAGAUUGAUAUUCAAAAUGAUGGACGACAGACAGUUGAUCUCCUUAUCAGGAGAUAUUUUCAGUAAUUUAUUAAGUUAGCAAAACUAUAUAAGUAAAGAUAUUUUUCAAUAAUGUGAUUCUUAAUGUACUUGCUAAACAAUCCUGGGGGUCAAAAUUUUCCAUAUUACCAUUUUUAAUAAAAAAAAAAACGGUUAUGUAAUGUUUUGUGUGCUAUGUACACAUUGAAUACAAAAUGUUGCAAUCAAAUUUUGAAGGAAUGUUCAAUACUUUGCUAAUUGUUUUAGUAUAGGCAGUUUUCAUUGUAGAUAAAAUAGAUACAAUACUUACCAACUUUUACAAUCUCUAGAAUAAAAAGUAUGUACAGAAGUUUGGGCUUGUGUACACUUUUAAAAACAAGGUUUAAUUUACUACUUUUUAUAAUGUAAUGGAAGUUGUUACGGCAGCAGAUUGUACAUUUCUCAUUUACCAUGUGUUUACGUGAGGCAUGUACAAUUUUUAGGUACAAAUAUAAAUCAAUUGUGAUACGUGAUUCUGCGAUUGUUCUAUGUAUGUGUGUAUCUUUCAAAUACCAACCUGUGAGUACUCAUCUUUGGUAUAUCCUGAUAGACUACUUGCAUGUGUAUUUAAAUGAAUUAUCAUUGUAUGUGUUCUACAUUCCGUUAAAAUAAUGCACACAGUUCAAUUUGGAUGCCAGUAGCAUACUAUGCAGACUGUUCCUUCGAACAUCUGUUGCAUAGUACUUUUGAUAAAUACUGAUAGAAAUACGACAAUAUACCUUUAAUAAAGUACAUACAUGCAUCAAAGUGACUAAAUUGAUAAACGUUUAUAAAGAAUUAUUUUUAUUACCGUAUUGGCUCACAUGUAAGGGGACCCCAAAUAUGUGAACUGCAGUUUCUGUAGGCCAAACAAAUACAAAAAAAAUUGUUUGUAAUAAUUGUGGAUGUGUAACAUAAGAUAGGGUGAGUAGAAAACGGUCUGUCUGAAGAAUUGUUAUAUGUAAAAUGUUUGGCAUAGAUAGAUAUACUUCUUUAUGACAUUUACCAGUAUUAUUUUAAGCUAAUUUCAUCAAAGUACUUUUAGUUGACUAUUCUUUGAGUAGAAUGUUUCUAUUCAUCCCGUUUUACAGUAGUAGACAUACCUUUUGUGGUAAUAAAUAUUUUCUGUAUUUACUGAUGUGCAGCAAUUAAGGUAGGCCUACAUACAUUACUUGUUACUAGAAAACCAAUUUAAAUGACUCCCACUAGCCUUGAACCCAGGCCUCAGAAUAGCUCGAUUUACUUAAAAAAAAAAUUGGCAAAGUUUAAUACAGUAUUUGAUGGAUUAAGUGCAUUUCAUACUUACGAAGGGAAUCAAAAUUUAAUUUUUUAGUAAGAAAGAAACUAGACCUCUUUGCAUAUUCUGCUAUAGCUGGACAUUUCAAUACUCACAGAGUUAACUAACCACAUACCAUGAAAAAUCACAAAAUAUUUUGCAGAGGAAGUUUUAAAAUUUCAAAGUUGAAGGUAUAAAAGAGAAUGAUCAAGCAUUUAUAACAUUUGGCCGUAAUGUCCAAUGCAAAGCCUCACAAUGAUUCCUGCUUAACUGUAAGUCAACUAUGUUGACAAAUGAACUAUUUACAUGUGUAUUAAAUAUUUGCAUGCCAGUAUUGUAAGGAAAAUAUCAAGAACUGCAACAUUUAGGCAGUGUUUGCUUUUUCAUAAUUGGGUAUAUAAAUUCAUAACAUACAAGAAAAUUAGUCCAAAGCCAUGGGUUAAUGAUGGUAAAUGCCUUACAAGCUAUUAAUACACCUGUGUAUUAUGUAGGAAAUGUAUGUAUUGCAUAUUACAGUAUAGGUAGGUGUAUGUCACAACCAAGUUUUGAGAUCCAUGAAAAAAACUUGAAUAAUUAGAUAUAUGGUGUUGGCAGCACUUAUUACCAUUACUCAUGUAAAUUCACCACGUAUAUUUUAAUGAUGUCUAAAGUUUGGUGUUACUUGCCACGAUAUUAGGUUUUCCAAUUGUUAAUGCUUCACUAAGAAAAAUAUUCAUUUUGCCAUUAUUGCAGAAAUUGUGUGUACCUACAGCUACAGGACACGUCAACAUUUAAUUUUGGCACAAUCACAUAAGCAAAUUUUAUGAGCUCAACUAUCUGAAGCAACUUUUUUGCUUAUACUGUAGUGUGAAGUAUAUAUAAUUCAUCAUCUAACUAUAAAUGUGAUAUUAUUCCUCACAUUAUGAAAAAUUAACAAACCUAAUAAUGCAAGUCAAUGCUGAACACUUAAUGUAUGUGGUAAUACCAAUACUGCAUUACUUGCUAUUCAUUUCUUAUGUUGUAGGCAGCACAAAGGAAUGUCUGAAGCAAAGUAUAAAAGAAAACCAACCAUACUGGAGUGUUAAUUUUAUUAAAUAAAAUUAUGAGUAUAAACUUUCUUGCAAGGCAAGUUUCUUUUCUGCAACUUCUGCCCUGCGAAGUUGGGCAUCAGCAAUCUUCUCCUGUGCUGCUGCCAACCUUUCUAAAGCAACUCUCAUUUGUCUUCUCUCUUCCAGGUUUGCCUUUUCAAGAUUAACUAUUUCCUCCCUAGCCAAAUCAAAUCUGAUGCAGAUUCAUACAUUGUUUUCUUGUCCUUUUGUUUACCUGAAAUGUUAUUUUGUUUAUUAAACCACAAAACAUUACAACUAUAAAACAAAUAAUUUGAAAAACAUUUAUUCCCAAGUUGUUACAUCAACAAUGUCCUUAAUUUCUUUCGAGAGAAGUUAGUGCUUCACAGCAAGGUUUUCAGCAGUAAUGGCUGACAUGAUAGGAUUCAGUAACAAAAGAUUGGUGAGCUGAGAGAUGAAUAAGAAAAUUAUGAUUCAGCAAAAUCUUGAAUACCAAAAUAAUCACCAAUGCAGUACUAAUACACUAGAACCCAGAUUUUGUGGAUCCGGACAGGUGAGUAAAUAAUAUUCGUAAAACAAAAUUAAUACCAACUAAUUUUGACAAUUCUGCCAGACAAAAAAAAAUUGCAAAAAAAAUUGAAGUUCUUUUCAUUUAUAAAAAAGUAUAAAGUUUCAUGUUUAUAAUAAAGAACACUCAUGCAAUAUUCAUGAUAUUCUUACAUCACAAAAAUUACUGUGGUGAAAGAUUUCUUUCACCUCUGCCUAUACAGUUCUGCAGCAGUGAUCAUCUGUGUUGUAGGUGAAAAAAAUUAAACAUCGUUACCGUUAUUCAAUGUGCAUUCCUUACAGACAAAAUUACGUACUAUAAUUAUAGGUUUAUAUGAUGUCUUCUUGCCUAAAUACAUUUUACGUACGCUUUUUGUGACAUGCAAAAAGUUGUACAAAAUAUUACAACAGUGCUUUCUAUCUGUCACAGUAUGAUAUAGAGUAAACUUCUUCACAGUACUCCAGUAUUUAUUCUUUUAAGGAGGGGGUACAUAAAUGGGGGUUUACCAAACACGUCAAGGAGCACACAUUUCAUUUACUGACUGGUUAAAAGCACAAAAUGCAAAUUCUGACAUAACUUGAAACCUGACUAAGAAAGUACCACUGUUAAAAACCAUGCUAGAGUGGGAUAAUACAUUUCAUGAACAAUUUCACAGAUUACUUUCUUUCUCAAUAUGUUUAUCAAAAUGGGUACACAUUUACACUAAAACUGUUGUCUUCAACAAUUACAUAUUAAAAAUUUAUGAUUUUGGAACUUUGUGAGGCAGUGGUAUUUUAAAUGCUAAGUGAUAAAUCAUAUACUGUAUCUACUGUAACCAAAUUUAUUAUGAUGAAUUCAAAUUUUGGACAAUAAAAACAAGUUUUAUCAAUUUUGAGGUCUGUCUCAGAGUUCGUGUCAAAUAUGACUGCAGAAAAAUAGUUCCACGACUGAAGAUAGUGCAGCUAAAUAUGUAUUGACUGUUUACAAAUAAAAUUAAAACAUGUCCAAGCAUAAAAUUAUGAUUGUUUGGACUUGUAUAUAGUGUUUGUGAAAUCGAAUUUGAACUUUCCUGCGCUACGUCCUGCAGCUUCCAGGGACAGAGUGACUGUGAUCGUUCGACCAUCAUGCACCAGGAAGACCCCUUAAUCAUACAGCUGUUGAAACACAAGACAAAACUUACCUACCAGAAACAUGCUUAGACCUUGUCGUCUGAGAUGUGGAUGACUCAAGUGUUUCCAACUGACGCGAUUCAUCUUCUACAGGACGAGACACACCAGAAGACAAACAAUCUGUAUCAUUGUCCAAUACAUCCAUUUGUAGAGGGUCCUCCAUGGAUACAUGUUCGUAACUGAACUGUGGUAAUUCCGCACAAAGACGAUGGCACGAAACAAAGUUUUCCACCAGAAAUUUAAUUGAAAUUUGUACACAAUAUAUAUAUAUACUUAACAAUAUAACCUUCUGAAUCCUAUUGAAGUUAGUUUAAUACAAAAUCUUGAGAAAUAACACAAAUCUUGUUCUUCAACCUUAUAUUAAGUACUAUCACAUUAACUGCACAAUAUGGCUGGCAAAGAAGAAACUAUAAAUUAACAAUACGGUGCAUAACUUUAAGGUUGUAAAUAUCUGACGUACUGCCAAGUACAGUGCAUUUAGGUUAAUGUUACGAAUUACAUCAUGCAACUGUCAGUGGCAGAAUAACUAUCAACAUUUACAUAUUUUAUACAUUAUUCACAAUGCUAGACAAAAAUAAAUUCCUUACAAACAAAAGCCUGAAACAUUGCCCUGUUAUGAAUUUUAAAAUCAGCCAUCCCCCUUGGAUAUGAGAAAAUUUUAAUUGGGUGCCUUGUAAAAUUUUGAUGAAAAUAUCAAGUGUUAGUUCAAAUGAUGUAAUGGAACAUCACUGCAAUUCGAAAUGCAUACUUAUAAACAUUUAACUAUUAUAUUAACCAAUGCACUUACAUAAUAUAAUGUAGUUUCAUAUUACACUACAGUAAACCAUAUACAGCACAGACGUGGCUAUAUCUCAAUGCUUCAUUAAUUUGUACUUACAUCACCAGAAGCAGGAACACCACUGAUUCCAUCCACACACUCCUUGCCAAUAAGUUCCAGGAGCUGCUCUUCCUGUGGGUUUAGGAUUUCUUUCAAAGGACCUCCCCCUCCUGUGCCCAUAGCAUGUGCCUUAAUAUUCCUGGCCUUCUUUUUUGUUGCAGCUUUCCACAGUGUCCAUGACUGAAAUGUGCAGAAACCUAACUAUAUAUAUAUUUUACUAAUAAUUUUAUAAAAUUUUAUAUUGUGAUCAUUAUAAUAUUUAUUAUUAAAAUUUACUACUGAUUUGACCAUUUUUAACCAUAUUUUGUAAUUUAAAUUGGUUUAUUACAAUUUUAUGUUUAUUAUCUAUAAUGUAGAUUUGUAAUUUGUUUGUUAAAAUGAUUAGUAAUUGUUGAUUGUAUGUAAUCUUUUGAUAAUACUACUUGACAAAU